UAGCAUAAUCAUUAGUUUUUUAAUUGAGAACUGGAAUGAAAGGUUUAAUAAAAAAUAAUCUUUAUUAAUUUUAAAAUUUUUGAAUUUAUUUUUUUAGUAAAAAAACUAAAAUAAUUUAAAAAGACGAUAAGACCCUAUAAAGCUUUAUAAAUUUUUAUUUAACAAUAAAUUAGAAUAAUAAAGUUUUUUUUUAUAUGUUUAUUUAAUUGGGGUGAUUUAAAGAUUUAAAAAACUCUUUAAUAAAAAAAUUUUCAUAAUUAAGUGUUUUUUGAUCCUUUAUAUUUAAGAAUAAUAAAAUAAGUUACUUUAGGGAUAACAGCGUAAUUUUUUUGAAGAGUUCUAAUCGAUAAAAAAGAUUGCGACCCCGAUGUUGAAUUAAGAUAAAAAUUAGGUGUAGAAGUUUAAUUUUC
Molecule: ribosomal RNA, 410 nt
Filed under: Micropsectra atrofasciata
Lineage: Eukaryota; Metazoa; Arthropoda; Insecta; Diptera; Chironomidae
Description: partial 16S ribosomal RNA
Source: RNAcentral